This 1494-nucleotide ribosomal RNA is filed under the name Lacticaseibacillus casei. RNAcentral describes it as "bacterial SSU rRNA". It matches the Rfam family "Bacterial small subunit ribosomal RNA". RNAcentral also lists the same sequence under 1 other name. The record is from RNAcentral. Lineage: Bacteria; Bacillati; Bacillota; Bacilli; Lactobacillales; Lactobacillaceae.
GAUGAACGCUGGCGGCGUGCCUAAUACAUGCAAGUCGAACGAGUUCUCGUUGAUGAUCGGUGCUUGCACCGAGAUUCAACAUGGAACGAGUGGCGGACGGGUGAGUAACACGUGGGUAACCUGCCCUUAAGUGGGGGAUAACAUUUGGAAACAGAUGCUAAUACCGCAUAGAUCCAAGAACCGCAUGGUUCUUGGCUGAAAGAUGGCGUAAGCUAUCGCUUUUGGAUGGACCCGCGGCGUAUUAGCUAGUUGGUGAGGUAAUGGCUCACCAAGGCGAUGAUACGUAGCCGAACUGAGAGGUUGAUCGGCCACAUUGGGACUGAGACACGGCCCAAACUCCUACGGGAGGCAGCAGUAGGGAAUCUUCCACAAUGGACGCAAGUCUGAUGGAGCAACGCCGCGUGAGUGAAGAAGGCUUUCGGGUCGUAAAACUCUGUUGUUGGAGAAGAAUGGUCGGCAGAGUAACUGUUGUCGGCGUGACGGUAUCCAACCAGAAAGCCACGGCUAACUACGUGCCAGCAGCCGCGGUAAUACGUAGGUGGCAAGCGUUAUCCGGAUUUAUUGGGCGUAAAGCGAGCGCAGGCGGUUUUUUAAGUCUGAUGUGAAAGCCCUCGGCUUAACCGAGGAAGCGCAUCGGAAACUGGGAAACUUGAGUGCAGAAGAGGACAGUGGAACUCCAUGUGUAGCGGUGAAAUGCGUAGAUAUAUGGAAGAACACCAGUGGCGAAGGCGGCUGUCUGGUCUGUAACUGACGCUGAGGCUCGAAAGCAUGGGUAGCGAACAGGAUUAGAUACCCUGGUAGUCCAUGCCGUAAACGAUGAAUGCUAGGUGUUGGAGGGUUUCCGCCCUUCAGUGCCGCAGCUAACGCAUUAAGCAUUCCGCCUGGGGAGUACGACCGCAAGGUUGAAACUCAAAGGAAUUGACGGGGGCCCGCACAAGCGGUGGAGCAUGUGGUUUAAUUCGAAGCAACGCGAAGAACCUUACCAGGUCUUGACAUCUUUUGAUCACCUGAGAGAUCAGGUUUCCCCUUCGGGGGCAAAAUGACAGGUGGUGCAUGGUUGUCGUCAGCUCGUGUCGUGAGAUGUUGGGUUAAGUCCCGCAACGAGCGCAACCCUUAUGACUAGUUGCCAGCAUUUAGUUGGGCACUCUAGUAAGACUGCCGGUGACAAACCGGAGGAAGGUGGGGAUGACGUCAAAUCAUCAUGCCCCUUAUGACCUGGGCUACACACGUGCUACAAUGGAUGGUACAACGAGUUGCGAGACCGCGAGGUCAAGCUAAUCUCUUAAAGCCAUUCUCAGUUCGGACUGUAGGCUGCAACUCGCCUACACGAAGUCGGAAUCGCUAGUAAUCGCGGAUCAGCACGCCGCGGUGAAUACGUUCCCGGGCCUUGUACACACCGCCCGUCACACCAUGAGAGUUUGUAACACCCGAAGCCGGUGGCGUAACCCUUUUAGGGAGCGAGCCGUCUAAGGUGGGACAAAUGAUUAGGGUGAA